RNAcentral lists this unclassified non-coding RNA (520 nucleotides) under uncultured Glomus. RNAcentral's name for it is "SSU rRNA". It matches the Rfam family "Eukaryotic small subunit ribosomal RNA", at positions 569 to 1091 of the family's 1831-position model. The record is from RNAcentral. Lineage: Eukaryota; Fungi; Glomeromycota; Glomeromycetes; Glomerales; Glomeraceae.
CGCAGCCGCGGUAAUUCCAGCUCCAAUAGCGUAUAUUAAAGUUGUUGCAGUUAAAAGCUCGUAGUUGAAUUUCGGGGUUAGUAGGUUGGUCAUGCCUCUGGUAUGUACUGGUCUCACUGAUUCCUCCUUCCUGAUGAGCCGUAAUGCCAUUAAUUUGGUGUUGCGGGGAAUUUGGACUGUUACUUUGAAAAAUUAGAGUGUUUAAAGCAAGCUAACGCUUGAAUACAUUAGCAUGGAAUAAUGAAAUAGGACGUUCGAUCCUAUUUUGUUGGUUUCUAGGAUUGACGUAAUGAUUAAUAGGGAUAGUUGGGGGCAUUAGUAUUCAAUUGUCAGAGGUGAAAUUCUUGGAUUUAUUGAAGACUAACUACUGCGAAAGCAUUUGCCAAGGAUGUUUUCAUUAAUCAAGAACGAAAGUUAGGGGAUCGAAGACGAUCAGAUACCGUCGUAGUCUUAACCAUAAACUAUGCCGACUAGGGAUCGGAUGAUGUUAAAUUUUUUAAUGACUCAUUCGGCGCCUUAA